This 174-nucleotide small RNA is filed under the name Nannocystis sp. SCPEA4. RNAcentral describes it as "6S RNA". The record is from RNAcentral. Lineage: Bacteria; Pseudomonadati; Myxococcota; Nannocystales; Nannocystaceae.
AGCGGGACGCUCGGCAUGAGGCCCAAAGUUCUACCUACACCGUUCAGCCAGGGGUCCGUCUCUGAUCGCUGGUGCGCAGGCUCGUCCGACGAGAAGCCCGACGCGGUUAACAUAGAUCCCACCUACUUGAUGUAGGGGUUGAACUUCGGCCACAUCAUGCCGGGCGACCCGCUC